Molecule: ribosomal RNA, 395 nt
Filed under: uncultured bacterium
Lineage: Bacteria
Description: bacterial SSU rRNA
Rfam family: Bacterial small subunit ribosomal RNA
Source: RNAcentral
GUGUCAGCCGCCGCGGUAAGACAGAGGAGGCAAGCGUUGUUCGGAAUCACUGGGCUUAAAGCGCGUGUAGGCGGCUCGGUAAGUGUCGUGUGAAAUCCCAGGGCUCAACUCUGGAACUGCACGGCAAACUCCCGAGCUUGAGGUCGGUAGAGGUGCCUGGAACUCUCGGUGGAGCGGUGAAAUGCGUAGAUAUCGAGAGGAACGCCGGAAGCGAAAGCGGGGCACUGGGCCGAUUCUGACGCUGAGACGCGAAAGCGUGGGGAGCAAACAGGAUUAGAUACCCUGGUAGUCCACGCCGUAAACGAUGCACACUGGACGUUGGGCCCUCUGACGGGACCGGCGUCGUAGCAAAAGUGCUAAGUGUGCCGCCUGGGGAGUACGGCCGCAAGGCUAAA